UGUUGUAGAAACACAGAUCUUGGGCCAGCCAGAUGAGUGUCACAAGCGUUCUCCUCAAAGCAGAUGUGGUGAUAUCUGAGGCCCAGAGAGAAACUUCUACUAACGCUGCCAACCAUAUAAAGGGCAGCUCUUCCUAGCCUGGAUUCCAUGUUGAAAAGCUGAAGAAAUCUGGGGGUCGUGCUUUCACUUAGAAUAAAUACACUGCUCACAAAGUAAAAAGAUUCCCCCCACCACCAUUUUUUGCCUUCCCAUAGCUGAAAAACAUCAGGUCCCACAAGGUUCAGAAUACUAACUCUAUUGUCUUUUGAGCUCAACAGCUCGAUCUCUAAGCCUGCUGUUUAGAGAUUUCCUCCCUUGUCUGGGUGGAUGGGGAGGAGAGAGAGCUCUGCCAGAUUGUUGCCUCCUUACCAGUCAUACAUAGUGCUCCACAAAAUUGGUAGGGGAAAUGCUCCAAAAUCAGAGAUGUUGCCAACUCUGUGUGCCAGCUCAUGUGAUUAGUCUCUGACCUUCAUAACCACAUCUGUGUUGCAUUAGUUCAUGCCUGCUUCCUUCCUGUCACUGGGCUGGCAGCAUCAAAUGGCAUGAUCUCUUUCUUAUACCAGAUUCACUUCUCAUGCGCAUCUCAGAGUCUUAUGAUUGCUUGUUCUGUACGAGUCAGAUUCCUGUUGAUGUGUGCAUGCAGGGCAUGGGGGAGCAAUUGUAAACCUGGCUUGGGUGCUAUCUGAGGCUGAUGUCACACAACAAAAACAAGAAGGUCACCUGUCACUCAUACAGAUAAAAUUCUGAUGUCUCUAACUCUGGGACAUGACCAAGCGUGAUAAGGGGAAAAGUAUCAGAAAUGUCACCUUUUCCAGCCCUGAGAUGCCCCAGGCUGUCUGCUUCAUGGGGUACAAAUUACUUCACAUUUUUUCUCCAGAAUAUGAAGUGAUAAGCGUCAGCCUACCAAAGUACAGCAGAAAGAAAAAUCUGCUUUCUUUAGGACAAACUUGACUUGCAGACACCUAAACAGUAAACAGGGUUAGAGCUUUUCAAAGCAAAUUCCACACAAUAUUGCUGAACUUUCCCCACACCAGAAUGGAUGAGUGGGAAAUGACUGGCGCAGGAAUACAAAACACUGGGCUGCGCAAGCUGAAAGGCAUUUAAAAAUAAAACCAGUCACAGACAUGAAAUAUGAAACUGAUUUUCAAAGGGGGAAGUGUUACGAACCCCAGAAUAUUUUGAGAUAUUUGUGGGAUGUCACACAUUUUCUUGCGUUUGUUUUACUAAUAUGACAUGUGUGGUCUCAUUAAAAAGCUGGUAUUAUGCUGGA
Alligator mississippiensis (American alligator) is the source of this 1309-nucleotide long non-coding RNA. RefSeq lists it as uncharacterized. NCBI's taxonomy places the organism in Eukaryota, Metazoa, Chordata, Crocodylia, Alligatoridae. The transcript is spliced from 2 exons. The record is from RefSeq and is a predicted model, not a curated record.